GACGCUUUGCCGCAGUGGUUACCGGGUUUGCCUGCUAUCUAGUAGUGAAGCAAAUGUGCUUUGCACACGUGCGUUCGAAUCGCACAGGCGUCG
This 93-nucleotide transfer RNA is filed under the name Clathrus columnatus. Its description in RNAcentral is "tRNA-Ser". It matches the Rfam family "tRNA". Rfam says of the family: Transfer RNA (tRNA) molecules are approximately 80 nucleotides in length. Lineage: Eukaryota; Fungi; Basidiomycota; Agaricomycetes; Phallales; Clathraceae. The record is from RNAcentral.